RNAcentral lists this ribosomal RNA (383 nucleotides) under uncultured eukaryote. RNAcentral describes it as "partial 18S ribosomal RNA". It matches the Rfam family "Eukaryotic small subunit ribosomal RNA", at positions 592 to 976 of the family's 1831-position model. The record is from RNAcentral.
CAAUAGCGUAUAUUAAAGUUGUUGCAGUUAAAAAGCUCGUAGUUGGAUUUCUGGUGGGAGCGAUCGGUCUGGCGCUUAGCGCGAGUACUUGCAUCGUCUCCGGCCAUCCUUGGGGAGAGUCUGUCUGGCAUUAAGUUGUCGGGCAGAGGAUCCUCAUCGUUUACUGUGAAAAAAUUAGAGUGUUCAAAUCAGGCUUAUGCCGUUGAAUAUAUUAGCAUGGAAUAAUAAGAUAGGACUUUGGUACUAUUUUGUUGGUUUGCGCACCAAAGUAAUGAUUAAUAGGGACAGUUGGGGGUAUUCGUAUUCCGUUGUCAGAGGUGAAAUUCUUGGAUUUACGGAAGACGAACUACUGCGAAAGCAUUUACCAAGGAUGUUUUCAUUAA